GUUAAUAACUUCAGGGAAGGAUGCAGAGAAAUGGGGUGAGAUGAGUCAUGAAGAUUUAACUUGUGCUCCUCUCUCUUUUGCUGUAGGUGUGUGUGAGUGUGUGUGUGUGUGUGUGUGUGUGUGUGUGUGUGUGAUUUAGUUUCACACUAGUUUGAGAAUCACUACCUCAUACAACAUGUUUUGUGGGUUUCUCAUGGAGUUGAAAGACUGAAUAAAAAGGCAAUGGUCAGGUAAUUUCUGAUAAAGUCUGUCCCCAAAACACUUGAUAACCAAUUCAAGAGCCAAAUUACCACCUUUGAAAAUAAGCUACAAACUGUGCCCCAAAAGAGUCAGGUAUGGGCUGAUGGCUGCCAGCUUCCCAACCCUAACUCAGGACCCACGAACGAAAGCCAAAUGUGCUCCCCAAGCCAACCACAAAAGAUGCCCCACUCGUAUUUACCCCACCUCCUCCUUCCUUAUGCAACAGUUGGACACAGCUGAAGCCUUCUCUUUUCUCAUUAUACAGCUUCCCCACUCUCUUGCCUGACUUAGAGUCUCCAUCAAAACAAGUGAUGGUGACGGCCUCCGUGGCUAUAGCACGUCUGAACAAAUGCCUCCCAGUGUUCUCAUUACGUUGUGUGCGUCUAUUUCCAUAGAGCAAGAUGGGAGGAAGGGGCUGUUCUGGAUGUUAAUCCCACCCUUUCAGAAUAGGAGUCCAAAGGAGAAAACAAUAUUCUCUGACAAAGUGAAGACCUCAAAGCCUGAAUCACGGUUUAGGCAACACCAAAGAAGAU
This 773-nucleotide long non-coding RNA is filed under the name Fukomys damarensis (Damara mole-rat). RNAcentral describes it as "lncRNA (ENSFDAG00000029400.1)". The record is from RNAcentral. Lineage: Eukaryota; Metazoa; Chordata; Mammalia; Rodentia; Bathyergidae.